RNAcentral lists this ribosomal RNA (256 nucleotides) under uncultured bacterium. RNAcentral's name for it is "partial 16S ribosomal RNA". It matches the Rfam family "Bacterial small subunit ribosomal RNA", at positions 524 to 776 of the family's 1533-position model. The record is from RNAcentral.
UACAGAGACCUCAAACGUUAUCCGGAAUCACUGGGCGUAAAGCGUUCCGAUAGGUGGUUUUGUAAGUCUUUGGUGAAAGCCUGGAGCUCAACUCCAGAAUCGCCAAGGAAACUAUAAGACUAGAGGAAGAAAGAGGGUGCUGGAACUCUGGGUGUAGCGGUGAAAUGCGUUGAUAUCCAGAGGAACACUCAAAGCGAAGGCAGGCACCUGGGUCUUUCCUGACACUGCUAGGACGAAAGCGUGGGGAGCGAAUGGG